Long non-coding RNA from Nothobranchius furzeri (turquoise killifish), 2568 nucleotides. RefSeq lists it as uncharacterized. The record is from RefSeq and is a predicted model, not a curated record. NCBI's taxonomy places the organism in Eukaryota, Metazoa, Chordata, Actinopteri, Cyprinodontiformes, Nothobranchiidae.
CUCAACCCACAGUGCUGGCUGGGCUGUAGUGAUCAAGUGAUGUAUGACUUUUCGGAUUUUUCCAAUGGCAAUACUCAGCGUGACUCAAGAGGGUGUGGUUUGGUCUGGCCACUUUUUCCAACCACACCCACCUCCACAUGCAACACGUUCACGCUUUUUAGAGAACCAGAGCCUCAUUUAUAAAGCUUCUUUAUGCAUAAAAUGGGGUUUGAAAACUGCACAAGUCAUUUCCUACACAAACUUUGUGAUAUAUAAAGAAAACCUUGAGUGGAAAAAUGACAACUUUAAUGAAAAGGUGAUUUUGAGGUGAACAGCCCAAAAUUGGGAUAUUGGGGUGAUCACCCCAAUAUCUUGAUAUCACACUUCCCACAGCCGAGCCGGUCGUUGUGAUGCAUCAUUUGUGGGGGUGCACGCUGCCAUGUGAACCGUAUUUAAGUCAGCAGGAGAUGAAUAAUAAAGAGAACAAAUUCCCCGGUGCAUAAUAAGGGCACUGCUUGCUAAAGCAGCAGGUCCCUCAACUAGAAAAUUCCUGAUGAAAUUUUAAAAAGGGACCUAGCAACUGGCACAAAACAGUGUUUAUGCAAAUACAAAACAUGCCACACACUCAAAGUUUGAAAGGGUGGCUUAAUCUGCCCCAAAUGACGACAUAUUUCGAAGUUUUAACUGAUUAAGCAGAUUAAGACAUGCACAAAGUUUAAAAAUUUAAAGAAUUGCAUCAUCACAGCCAAAGUUAUUCUAAAACACAAACACAGCUAACCGCCAUCUGCUGCACCGCAUAUGGCAUGAAAACUCGUCACUGACCGUAGUGCACCAUGGAGUGACUGUCUGUUGAUUAUACAAUGUCCAACUAAUUUCACCGCUGUGCGUGAUACUUAUAGCUCACUUUGAUGCUAGCAAAACAAAUAAUUGCUCAUAUAUAAAGCAAGACAUUACUAACAAAACAAUUGGUCUAAACACUGAAGCAGUCAGGCGUGAAAACGGGUCAAGGGUGAAAAGGUGAGAGCCCUAACCACAACAAAGCAGAAAAGAUAAAGCGCCGCCGUUAACACCUGUCUUUAGUGCCAGCUCAUGACCCAGCUCAUCUUCCUCAAAGAGGAAGUACCAUUUUUAAAACUCUCGCUUUGGCGUCAGACUCUGGCUGCGGGUCUCCUUUUGCUGUCUUCCAUCUAACCCGCUGAUCUGUCUGCUGGACAUUCAUACUUCUCCUUUAUACAUAAAAAUUCCCUAAACUACAGAGAAAUCACACCCGUCACAGAUUGUACCGAUAUCCAAACUUUGCUGUGAAUUCUUUCUCACUGUGUGGAGCUUCCUCUGUCCCCCUGCAGCAAAAGGCUACUGAACGAAACCCAUCCUUAUCGUUUGAAUAUGAGAAAUUUCCACCAACAGAAAAGGAAUCUCGUGUUUUUGUGUUUCAUUUUUUAUGUUCGUGAGCUCAUCUCCCCCUGACAAUCGCAGUUUUUUGUCACGCCUCUGCUUAGGACGAGGGAUUUGGUUAAGAACCAGCCAUUAAAAGGUAAACUAAAGAUUCCUCCCAAUUUACUUUAAGUUGAAUUUAACAUAAUUUGAAGUCACCUGGUUCAUUAAACAAAAUAAACUUUAGCAAUAACUUCUGCAAGCAUACACAUCAGCAAAAUGGUGUUCUUCUUUCUCUCUGGCCGUUCUCUUGCCCAGAGCUCUCAGCUCCUCCGUGUCGCCCCCCCACCCGCACCUCGGAGUAUCACAGAAGAGUCUGACACAAAGGCUGAUACCAAAAUGACCCAACGUUUCUGACGCCAUCAAGGAGAGGAGGAGGAGGAGGAGGAGAUUUUUAAGUUCUAAGCCUGUUAUCCACUCCCCCACCCGUCCUGAGCCAAAAGCCACGCUUCCUAACGUGCACGCGCAGGGAAAGCCGAGUCAACAGAGAGAGCAUCGCUACUUUGACUCAGAGCUGAGCUAGCGUUAGCAUUGGAGUUUUCUAAGAGCAGAGUGAUGGAAGAGUCAUCUGAUGAAGAGUUUAGACCUCCUGGCGACCUUACCUGAAGCUCAGAAUCUUGGAUCAGAACACUGGCUUGAGCAGCAACAACUGCGAACUGUCACAGGCCAAUGACGAGCAGGACGAAGACACUAGUACUGUUUGAUGUCCUUACCCUCUCGUCUCCUGGAACUACUCCUACUAUCAAUGCAACCUUCUUAGUCUGUAUGUCCCUGCUAUUGAGAUGCCAAAUGGUUUAUGAACGGAUUUUACUGCCAAUGGUCUGCCAAGAAUUGUCCCACAAAUGAGCUGUUUUGCCUGACCAGGACACUGUGGAACAAAUUUUGAGCUGCAUCUUACAAACCGUAUGUAGCAUGGCUACAUGACAAAUGGGGGGAGACCACCUAGUAGCAAUUCCAAGUUGUGUAGUCUGAAGGAUGAGGCACAAAUUCCCUAACCUCAAUGGGAAUUAUGUUGGAUUUAUACCAAGAAGAUUUUAAGCACUAAUCUAAUUAGUAAUUUACAAUAUUGUCUGAUAUGACUAAUGUAACCUUUUCCAGCUCGUCUCUUUUACUGUGAUGUGUUCAAUUUUCAAAAUAAAGUGUUAUAAAGCCGAA